RNAcentral lists this ribosomal RNA (1005 nucleotides) under Triticum aestivum (bread wheat). RNAcentral describes it as "partial small subunit ribosomal RNA". Lineage: Eukaryota; Viridiplantae; Streptophyta; Magnoliopsida; Poales; Poaceae. The record is from RNAcentral.
AUGCAUAAAACCAUAGUUGUCUUAAUUCUUAUGUACUUCUUUAUUGAACUAUUGCCAUUUGAGAUAUAUUUAACUGUUCCACUUCCUUGCUUUCAUUUCUUACUUGGAACAGAGGAAAGGGCCUUCAAGGAGCUUUUACACUUUAUGUAUAGUGGAAAGUUGACACCAGCAAUUGAGCCCACUCUUUUGGUUGACAUCUUGAUGGCUGCUGACAAAUUUGAGGUCGUUUCUUGCAUGGAGCAUUGCUGUCAGCGUUUGUCACGCCUGCCUAUGACCCCAAAAUCGGCAGUGAGGUGCCUAGAUCUUCCUUGUUCCAUUUCUAUGGCUGCCACCCUGACAAAGACGGCCAAAAAAUUCCUUGCUCAAUGGUACAAGGAUUUUCUGUCAACAGAGUUUCAAGAUGAACUCAUGAGGGUCCCUCUUGCUGGGAUCCAGGCCAUCUUAUCAAGCAAUCGCCCUCGGACUGCAUCUGAAGAAUCCAUCUAUGACUUUGUGCUCAGGUGGGCACGUUCACAGUACCCAAAUUCAGAGGAAAGGGACAAGAUUUUGAGUUCAAGGUUACUUCCAUUAGUGCCACUCAGUAUGACCGAUGCCAUUCGAAUUGAUCAUCCGUCUAACAUAGUUAACUUCACUAUAAACCGUGAUCUGUGCAACAAUCUCUUCCCAUUAGGAACGGUGCGUUCAGUGCCGUUCAAUUGCGAAGGGCUUGCCUUCUUCAUCUCGGCAUGCUGUAAGGAGAAGGAGCAGUUGCAGUUUUUUAACCUCUCAAUAAAUAUGAUAGAAGGCAAAGGGGCGACAUGGGGGCCUAUAGAUUAUAAGAUUGAGGUAAUGACAAGACGUUCGCUGGAGUUUGUCACCAAACACAGGCACACCACUCCCCCCAAUACUAGGCAAACUGUUGGAUGCAAGGUUCCUUGGUCGGAGUUAAUGGCUGACGACAGCACCUUUUUCAUCGACGGCAAACUCCAUGUGCGAGUUCAUGUGAAGAUAUCACAGCAGGCGUAG